AUACGUAGGGGGCGAGCGUUGUCCGGAAUGAUUGGGCGUAAAGGGCGCGUAGGCGGCCUGUUAAGUCUGGAGUGAAAGUCCUGUUUUCAAGAUGGGAAUUGCUUUGGAUACUGAUGGGCUUGAGUGCAGGAGAGGUUAUCGGAAUUCCCGGUGUAGCGGUGAAAUGCGUAGAGAUCGGGAGGAACACCAGUGGCGAAGGCGGGUAACUGGACUGCAACUGACGCUGAGGCGCGAAAGUGUGGGGAGCAAACAGGAUUAGAUACCCGGGUAGUCCAGACUGUAAACGAUGAAUGCUAGGUGUAAGAGGUAGCGACCCCUUUUGUGCCGGAGUUAACACAAUAAGCAUUCCGCCUGGGGAGUACGGCCGCAAGGUUGAAACUCAAAGGCAUUGACGGGG
Molecule: ribosomal RNA, 397 nt
Filed under: uncultured bacterium
Lineage: Bacteria
Description: partial 16S ribosomal RNA
Rfam family: Bacterial small subunit ribosomal RNA
Source: RNAcentral